UUAUAAAUCACUUAGAUUUUGAUUUCACAAAAAAGAAUGUUCCAAUGCAGCCACAUCAAUCAAGGAUUUGACAAGCCAUGCUAAAUAGAACAAUGUUUCCAUCGUUAAUAUCUCGUCCCGAAUGGAACCCAUCGUCGAUCACUUGAUUUCGAGCUCCGCCUCCGAUAUCAGCACCGCCGGCCGUUCUCUGUGCCUGAACAUCGGGACGCCGAGCUUGUAGGCCAUCGGCGCAGGUGCUUCCGCUUGCCAUCCGAGGAACGCGUAGCUUGGCACGACCGCCGGUGCCGGCGCCGGCGCCGCCGUCGGAGAGCUGGGGAGGAAGCCGGACACCAGCAGAAGGGCCACGAUGACGAGAGCCUUGGCCAUCCUUGCUGCGGGCACAGAGGGGCUUGGAGAAACGCACCAGGGGGAGAUGACCCCGGUUCUCAUUUAGAGGUCGCGGCCAUGGCCUAUUAUUACCGUGAGGCAGCGCCAGUUGUGUGGCUGAGGACUCGGUCUCUGUCUCUGUGGCUGUUUCUGCUGUUGCCGCUACCUGAGUGCUUGACAUGACUGAGUGCUUGACAUUGCCGUUAAGCCAAUACGUCCUUAACACUUGCGAACUCGUCUGUUAUUAUUAUUAUAUAGGAAGACAUUUAUACGUAUAGGAUGUACUUUCACUGUCGAAUGUUCUCUUCUAGGAGGAGUCUUCGCCGUUCCCCGCCUGCUUCGAGGGUUCGGAGGAGGAGGAGGAGGCGAGACGAGAGAAAGAGGGAGCGAGGGCGAAGGCGUUAGGGUUUCCAGUUACGGGGAUGUGGGCGAUGUCAGACGAGAAGCCACCAGCGGAGAUCUGCAAGGGCGUGAAUGGGUUCGACAAGGUCGUGCUCAGGGAGGACAAUCGAAGAUCGGCCGAGGUUAUGAAGGGUGAUUUUUUUAUUCGUUCUGGUGCCAAAAUCAUUUUGGGCCUCGACAUCAAAUUAAUGUUUCUAUGGAGUGACGGUAUUGGGUAAGCUUACAAAAGAAUAUAAUUCUUAUGGAUUUGAUGACCAGGUUAUUUUAUGCAUUUGGGAAAAUAUUAUCAUGGUUUUUGUCAGUGGUAUGAAAUCUGUGGGAGAAGAAAGCCAAAUCUGUGGCAGAAUUUGGAGACUGAAUAAACCAUUUGCUAUGUGGAGAUUACGGUUGUUGAAAGGAACAUCACUCUUGAAGUUUGGCAAGGAAAUAGAAAGGAACGCUGGAGCUAUCUGCUGUUUCUUCUGGUUGUCAUAGGGGGCACUGGAUCCUCACAAGUUGCCUCAAGGAGUAAAAUAAUACAUUCUUUAUGGUGAGGUUCUGAUGUGUAGCUUAUCAUCACACACACAUAUAUAUAUAUAUCCUUUAAUCACAAAGGGGCAUAACAUAAUUACUGACGCUGAUGGUAGGUUCACAAGGAUCUGGGUGAUUUUUGAUGUGCCUGGAGUGCUUUUGCAGACAGUGAUCAUUUUGUACAAAUGUGAUAUGACCUUACUCUUCUCGCAGAGAUUCAUGGUUAUUUGAUUAUGUUCAUUUGUUAUAGGGUGUGGCACCUGUGGUUGGAACUUGGAAACCUUACCAAUUUAAGCUGUAACUGUAAUAUGCCUGCAUGGAUUGAGUCACAUAGUUACCCUCAUGACAGCACAAUGGAAGGAAAGAUCAAUGCGUUCCAUCCCAGAUUGCUGGGACCUUAUUAAUUGUUCCUGUUGUUGUCUUAGCUACUGCUUUUUUCGUCUUCUCCUAUUGCCAUUUGUAAUAAUUAAGAUAUCAAAUCUUUUUGUAAACAUCGUUUGUAGCUAUUAUACAGUUUUCGCUUGACAUAAA
This is a long non-coding RNA of Musa acuminata AAA Group (dessert banana), 1809 nucleotides long. RefSeq lists it as uncharacterized. The transcript has 2 exons. NCBI's taxonomy places the organism in Eukaryota, Viridiplantae, Streptophyta, Magnoliopsida, Zingiberales, Musaceae. The record is from RefSeq and is a predicted model, not a curated record.